AGUUCGGCGGUCCGCGGGUCUGUCUCUUGCUUCAACAGUGUUUGGACGGAACAGAUCCGGGGACUCUCUUCCAGCCUCUGACCACCCUCCGAUUUCCUCUCCACUUGCAACCUCCGGGACCAUCUUCUCGGCCAUCUCCUGCUUCUGGGACCUGCCAGCACCGUUUUUGUCGUUAGCUCCUUCUUGCCAACCAACCAUGAGCUCCCAGAUUCAUCAGAAUUAUUCCACCGACGUGGAGGCAGCCGUCAACAGCCUGGUCAAUUUGUACCUGCAGGCCUCCUACACCUACCUCUCUCUGGGCUUCUAUUUCAACCGCGAUGAUGUGGCUCUGGAAGGCGUGAGCCACUUCUUCCGCGAAUUGGCUGAGGAGAAGCGUGAGGGCUACGAGCAUCUCCUGAAGAUGCAAAACCAGCGUGGAGGCCGCGCUCUCUUCCAGGACAUCAAGAAGCCAGCUGAAGAUGAGUGGGGUAAAACCCCAGACGCCAUGAAAGCUGCCAUGGCCCUGGAGAAAAAGCUAAACCAGGCCCUUUUGGAUCUUCAUGCCCUGGGUUCUGCCCGCACAGACCCCCAUCUCUGUGACUUCCUGGAGACUCACUUCCUAGAUGAGGAAGUGAAGCUCAUCAAGAAGAUGGGUGACCACCUAACCAACCUCCACAGGCUGGGUGGCCCGGAGGCCGGGCUGGGCAAGUAUCUCUUCGAAAGGCUUACUCUCAAGCAUGACUAAGAGCCUUCUGAGCCCAGCGAUUUCUGAAGGGCCCCUUGCAAAGUAAUAGGGCUUCUGCCUAAGCCUCUCCCUCCAGCCAAUAGGCAGCUUUCUUAACUACCCUAACAAGCUUUGGACCAAAUGGAAAUAAAGCUUUUUGAUG
RNA transcript from Nomascus leucogenys (northern white-cheeked gibbon), 866 nucleotides. It is a transcript of the gene named ferritin light chain pseudogene, with no coding region annotated. The transcript has a single exon. The record is from RefSeq and is a predicted model, not a curated record. Lineage: Eukaryota; Metazoa; Chordata; Mammalia; Primates; Hylobatidae.